This is a long non-coding RNA of Mobula hypostoma (lesser devil ray), 2119 nucleotides long. RefSeq lists it as uncharacterized. The transcript has 3 exons. The record is from RefSeq and is a predicted model, not a curated record. Lineage: Eukaryota; Metazoa; Chordata; Chondrichthyes; Myliobatiformes; Myliobatidae.
CCGAAGUGAGGCUCAGCAACCAGGCCUCGUCAUCCACAGAAAACAUUUCAUCAUCCUGUGUUUUAUUCAGAUAUAUUUUUGCGUUCCGUUUUUAAAAAUAACAGUUUAAAGUAUGUAAUAGACUGCGAUAAUUCAAGAAACAAAUUCCCCUUCGCGAGGUACGCAUCUGCAACGGAAGUGACUCUGUCUCUCCGGUAAUUUCAUCCACGCUACAACAUUUGGUGUCAGGAGUGGGAUGCCUUCGUGACCUGUCGUGUGGCCAGCGUUCCUAGCAGUCUUAAGUUGACGGAUUGGGGACCCAAGUGUACCCAGUAACCAUGUAAUUACAGAGAACCUAAGAGAGGAACACCAGCUGGCUAUGCCAGACCUGACCACAGCUGAUGAAAACAUACCCGGAGAAAACGCAAGGGCAGAAAACAUUGAGAGUGUGGCAGAAGACACUGAGAAUGUGUUGGAAAAACCAUGAAUAGCCUGCUAAAGUGUGAUGACGAUGGUACUGUGUAAAGAAGGCUGGUUGCUGAAGGUAGAUGAUUAAUUUUAUAGCAUAGUAUAGAAAAUUAUUUGGGAAAUAGAUGGGGAGGGAUUUUUGAGUUAAAGUAGAGAUGGCAAGUUCCACCACUUUGAUGGCAUUUCAGACUGCACACGGCAUCUGAAAGCAGUCACCCCAGUCUGAGGAGCUGUACCCUUUCCAGCAGUUGAGGUAGUGAUCAACGGAACAGAUCGUAAGGGGGUGCCACCGGGGAGAGGUCCUUGCAGACGUUUACGUAGAGGCCACCCAACCACCUUCCUGUACAUCGAUGAGAGAGCCUGUGGGUGCUCCUGGAAGGAGAGUUUCAGCGACCAGAGAAUAAAGGGCUGAAGACAAAAGAAUGUAAUUAAGAUGCAGUCAGCCUGCAGGCACACAAAAGGAGCUGCAUUCCUAAAGACUUGGAACAGCCUCUCUGCUUAACAUUUGGUAGGUAAUGCUAGGAUAGAUAUCGAGGUACAUUAAAUUGGGGGGUAAUAUUUUUGCUGCCCUAUUUGAGCAGAUCCUCUUAGGUUGGCCUUUCCUGAUACAAAUUUAAUUUGUCCAGGAGGGCCAAGAGGAGGGACUAGUUUAGGAGAAUGGGCAAAGUAGCAGCAAAUGAAAUACAAUGUUGGUGUUAGAGUGAAAUUUUUUGGGGUAGAUGAUUUGUUUACACUUAAAUGACUUUGGCCACCAGACUUCUAUUUUAACUGUUUGGCAAAGGACUGUGGAUUGAGUCCACCACAAUGGGCUUCCUAAAAGGUGUGAAUACCAGAUGCUUCUGGUAGUUUGACCUGCUGCUGUAGUUUCGAAGGCAGUAUCACCUCUUCAUUAUAAAUAUUAAUUGUCUUCUAUGUUAGCAUGGGAAAUGCCAAAUAAAUGUAUUGUAGACUUAACUUGCAUUGCUAAAGGCUGUGGAUACCAACCCAGACAUGUUGGCGUCAGAAGGAAAGGAUGAAAUCCAAAGGUGUGAUGUUUGUAUGUAGCUUCAAAAGGAAGCAUUGUCUAAGUAUUGUCUAUAACUUUUAAGUAGCGAUUGCCUUUGUGUUUAGCAUAUAAAUAUCAAGCCCACAUUUAGCUAGCAGACCUUUCUGCGGAAAACGUCUCGAGAUGCCUGCUGUACCUUGCUGUGUCGGAUAAAGAAGCUGCUUUGUAUCUACCAGUGACUCUGUCUCUCCGGUAAUUUCAUCCACGCUACAACAUUGGAAAGUGUAUGGUCAUGCACUUUGGUGGAAGAAAUAAACAGGCAGACUAUUAUUUAGGCUACAUCCACACUAGACUGGAUAAAUCCGUAACCGAAGCUUUUUCUCUUCAUUUUGACCCUCUGUCUACACUGAAAAUGGCAUUUUCCUCCCCCGAAAACGGAGAUUUUCAGAAAUGCUCUCCAGAGUGAAUAAAUCUGAAAACGCCUAAUGUCUGGCGUAGUGUGUACGGGGUAAGUGGCUAUUUUUAAAGCUGCUGUCAUGACGUGCCGGAACAAAUGGUGGCGGCAGCACGGCAUUUCAUUGUUUUCCUGAACGCAACCUCCAACACCCCCACAACAAUAUCUGACAACAGAUAUGUAACAGCCUGAUGUAACAUUGUAUGUAAAUACAAGAUAACACUGAUGCAGAU